CAGUUCGCAUGCAGUAGCUGACCUGCGGAGGAUCAUUA
This 38-nucleotide ribosomal RNA is filed under the name uncultured Cenococcum. RNAcentral describes it as "partial 18S ribosomal RNA". Lineage: Eukaryota; Fungi; Ascomycota; Dothideomycetes; Gloniales; Gloniaceae. The record is from RNAcentral.